This 212-nucleotide ribosomal RNA is filed under the name uncultured bacterium. RNAcentral describes it as "partial 16S ribosomal RNA". It matches the Rfam family "Bacterial small subunit ribosomal RNA", at positions 1290 to 1500 of the family's 1533-position model. The record is from RNAcentral.
AGUUCGGAUUGCAGGCUGCAACCCGCCUGCAUGAAGUCGGAAUCGCUAGUAAUCGCGAGUCAGCAUAUCGCGGUGAAUACGUUCCCGGGUCUUGUACACACCGCCCGUCACACCAUGGGAGUCGGAAAUGCCCGAAGCCGGUGACCAAACCAAUAAGGAAGGAGCCGUCGAAGGCAGGUCCGAUAACUGGGGUGAAGUCGUAACAAGGUAGC